UACAGAGGUCUCAAGCGUUGUUCGGAUUCAUUGGGCGCAAAGGGUGCGUAGGCGGCGCGGUAAGUCGGGUGUGAAAUCUCGGAGCUUAACUCCGAAACUGCAUUCGAUACUGCCGUGCUUGAGGACUGGAGAGGAGACUGGAAUUUACGGUGUAGCGGUGAAAUGCGUAGAUAUCGUAAGGAAGACCAGUGGCGAAGGCGGGUCUCUGGACAGUUCCUGACGCUGAGGCACGAAGGUCAGGGGAGCAAACGGG
Molecule: ribosomal RNA, 253 nt
Filed under: uncultured bacterium
Lineage: Bacteria
Description: partial 16S ribosomal RNA
Rfam family: Bacterial small subunit ribosomal RNA
Source: RNAcentral